Non-coding RNA from Callithrix jacchus (white-tufted-ear marmoset), 5240 nucleotides. NCBI's taxonomy places the organism in Eukaryota, Metazoa, Chordata, Mammalia, Primates, Cebidae. The record is from RefSeq and is a predicted model, not a curated record.
GAGUCUCGCUAUUUUAGGCUCUUCUGAGAUGGCUUGCCUUCCAGCUCUGGCCUGGUUUUGAGGCAAAGAAGGAGUCGCCACCUGCCACCCACUCUGGAGGCUGGAGCCUGCAGUAUCUUGGCUCACCUCGCUGUUGCAGUUGGUGGCGGUGACGGAGACUACAGCGCAGCCUGAAAGGUUUUUUGGCUUUGCCAACCCAGCUGCUCCAUGCUAGGAGAAGGAAGAGCCACCUGCCGCAUGCUACAGGCUGGAGGCUAUGGCAACACAGCUCGCCUGGCUGUGGCUGGGGGCAGUGAUGGAGACUGCAGAGCACCAGAAAGGCUCCACCCUGUACAAGCAGUCAUCAGGACCCUCCUUCUCCCUGGCCACAGCUGCUGCCCCUGAGAAGCCAGGCCCCAAGUCAGCAGAAGUGGGCAAUGACUUCCUGGGGGACUUUAUGGUGGGCAACCAGUCUGGUGUGAAGCCAGAUAUGGUGCAGUACCUGGGUGAGAUGCAGUUGGCACCAGGCCAGUGGGCCUGUGUGGUGCUGGAUGACCCAGUGGGCAAGAAUGAUGGUGUGGUGAGCAGUGUGCACUACUUCAAGUGCCCAGCCCUCCAGAGCAUCUUCAUGUGGCCCUUCCAGCUGCCCUGGCAGCCCAUGGCUGAGGACUUGGGUAGUGAUGCCCACUCUGUGGAGUUGCUGACUACCCAGAACCUGUCACUGCAUUUGGGCAUGGCCAUGCUCCUGCUAAGCAGCCACAUCAUCCUGCUGCAGGAGAGCAUCCUCAACAACUCCAUGAAGGUGGUCAAUGAGUGGGGCUCCCACCUCUAGGACAGUGGCUCUGUGAAGCUGGGCAAUAAGGACCUGUGCCUGGGGGACUGCGUGCUGGUGACUAUGGUCUUGCUGGGCAAGUGCUGUGACAUCCCCGCCAGCAGCUGUGGACUUAACCGCUGGAACUCUGCUUUCUCCCUCAAAGACGAGAUCAUCAUUAGUCUCAUGUCUGCCUUAGACUCCAUGGUCUCGCUCUGUUGCCCAGGCUCGAGUGCAGUUGUGUAAUCACAGCUCCCUGCAGCCUCAGCCUUCUGGUCUCAAAGGAUCCUCCCACCUCGGCCUCCUGAGUAACUGGAACUACAGCAAAUACCACCAUGGAGCAUUACUCAGUGAUGAAAAGGAAUGAGGCUCUGCCACAGGACACAGCGUGGAUGCACCUUGAGGACAUCAUGCUCUGCUAAAGGACCCAUACACAGAAGACCCCACAGUGUGUGAUCCCAUCUCUAUGAAAUGUCUGGGACAGGCCCAUACACAGAAGGGGAUGUGAGGGUGGCGGGGCUGCGGGAGGGAGACGGGCAGUGACUGUUUAGGGUGACACAGGGCUUCUAUUAGAGGUGAUAGGAUGUUCUAGAAUUAGAUAAAGGUGAUGGUUGCUCAAUUCUGUGCAUGUGCUAAAAACCAUUGACUUGCACUUUUGUUUCUUGAGAUCGAGUCUCACUGUGUUGCCCAGGUUGGAGUGCAGUGGUGCAAUCUCAGCUCACUGCAACCUCUGUCUCCUGGGUUCAAGCAAUUCUCCUACCUCAGCCUCCGGAGUAGCUAAGAUUGCAGGCACUUGCCACUAUGCCUGGCUAAUUUUUCCAUUUUUAGUAGAGAUGAGCUUUCACCACAUUGGCCAGGCUGGUCUGAAACUCCUGAUCUCAGGCAAUCUCCCCAACUCAGCCUCCCAAAGUGCUAGGAUUAUAGGUGUGAGCCAUUGCACCCAGCCACAUUGCACAUUUUUAAAGGGUGAAUUUUAUGGUGUGUAAAUUAUGUCUCAAUAAAGCUAUUAAAGAAAAAACUUUGGAAUGAAAGAAAGGUGGACACCCCUGUACUCUGGCUACAGGGCACCAUUCCACCUCCUCUCUCUGCAGGCACUGCCCCCUCACGAACCUCUGCCCUGAUCCCCCAUCCCACACCCCAGAGCUGUGCCCAUGUGCUAGGAAACCUGCCACCCCAGGGGCCAAUCCAGCCUCAGACUAACAGGAUCUGAAAAAAGGCAAAGCCCACUGGGGGUAGUGGCUCACGCCAGUAAUCCCAGCACUUUGGGAGGCCAAGGCAGGCAGAUCACAAGGUAUGAGAUGGAGACCAUCCUGGCAAACAAGGUGAAACCCUGUCUCUAAACAAACAAGCAAACAAGCAACAACAAAAAAAGGCAAAGCUGCAGAACCAUUUUCAAUCAAAGCAAGUUAGAAAGCACUAGGGGGCCAGGUGCCAUGGCUCAUGCCUGUAAUUUCAGCACUUUGGGAGGCCAAGAAGGCAGAUUACCUGAGGUCGGGAGUUUGAGACCAGCCCUACCAAGAUGGAGGAACCCUGUCUCUACUAAAAAUACAAAAUUACCCAGGUGUAGUGGCACUCACCUGUACACUCAGCUACUCAGGAGGCUACAGCAAGAGAAUCAUUCGAACCUGGGGGACAGAAGUUGCAGUGAGCUGAGAUCCCACCAUUGCACUCCAGCCUUGGCAAUAAGAGCUAGACUCCAUCUCAAAAAAAAAAAAAAAAGAAAUUGCUUUCUUGCCCUUUGCUGAGUUUGAGUGUCAAGUGUUGAGCCAGACAUAGCUGGGUCAGUGCCAGAGUCAGGGUUGUCUCCAGGGGUCCUGGCAAUUUCCUGCCAAACCUUCAUGUCAGACCUCAUGCCCCCCUGGGGCCCCUUGGGUUUGGAGCUGCCUUGCCAUUGAGGAUUCAAGGUGUGUGGUAGGAACAGGGACCCAGGCCACCCUCUGGUGGCCUCAGCCUGCCCAGCUUUGUCACUUGAACCUGUCAAGAUACAAGCAAUGUGCACAUUUCACCAAAAAGCUUGCUCCUGGCCAGAACAUCCCUUAGACCAGGGUCUCUCAGUCUCAGCACCACUGACAUCAGGGUCAGACUGUUGUCAAAAAGAGGUCGUCUAUAUUUUUUUUCGAAAUGGAGUCUUCUUCUGUUACCCAGGCUAGAGUGCAGUUGUCCCCCUCUGCUCACUGCAAUCUCUACCUCCUGAGUUCAAGUGAUGCUCCUGCCUCAGUCUCCUGAGUAGCUGGAAUUAAAGCCACAUACCACCAAGCCUGGUUUAUUUUUGAUAUUUUAGGUGGAGACAGGGCUUCACUAUGGGAGCUCUCUGCAGCCUCAAACUCCUGAGCUCAAGCAAUUCUCUUGCUUCAGCCUCCUGAGUGGCUGAGACUACAGGUGCCCACCACUGGCCCCAUGCAAGUGACACUGCCAUCAGAUUGUUGGUUCUAGAAUCUAGAGUAAAGUCCCCACCCCAAACCAGCCCUGCCUCCACCUCAUCAUCAAGCUCCAAGGGACAUGCAGCCUCCUAAAGGCUCCCAAGAUCAGGGGCCAGAAGCCCAUACCCAACCAAAAUUGCUUUCUUUCUUUUUUUUUUUUGUGAGAUGAAGUUUCACUCUUGUUACCCAGGCUGGAGUGCAAUGGCAUAAUCUCAGCUCACUGCAACCUCUGCCUCCCAGGUUCAAAUGAUUCUCCUGCCUCAGCCUCCCAAGAAGCUGGGAUGACAGGCACACCACCAUAUCUGGCUUAUUUUGUAUUUUUAGUAGAUAUGGGUUUCACUGUGUUGGCCAGGCUGGUCUCCAACUCCUGACCUCAGGUGAUUCACCAGCCUUGGAUUCCCAUAGUGCUGGGAUUACAGGUGUGAGCCACUGUGCCUGGUGAGAAUUGCUUUACGAUUCUGCUUUCCUUCCUGAGAUGAUCAUGGAAUAUGUGGAAAUUAAACAAGAUGCUCUUCAACUGCCAAUGGGCCCAAGACAGAACCACAAGGGAAAUUAGAAAUUACCCCAACGUGAAGGAAGGAAGACAGAAAUGCAACCUAACCACAAUGUAUGGGAUAUGGCACAGGCAGUGCUGAGAGCAGCUGCUGCCUGUGAUCCCCUGCAAAAGGAAGAGAUAAAGAUCUCAACUCCACAACUUUACCUUACACCUUAAGGCAAGGAUCCCCAACCCCUGAGUCACAGACCUGUACCACCAUUCCGUGGCCUGUUAGGAGCCAGCCUGUACAGCAGCAGGUGAGAGGUGGUCGAGUGAGUGAAGGAUCUUCUGUAUUUAUUUUUCUUUUUGAGAUGGAGUUUCACUCUGCUACCCAGGCUGGAGUGCAGUGGUGCAAUCUCUGCUCACUGCAACCUCCGCCUCCUGGGUUCAAGUGAUUCUCCUGUCUCAGUCUCCCAAGUAGCUAGAAAUACAGGCCCCCACCACCAUGCCCAGCUAAUUUUUGUGUUUUUAGAAGAGACAGAGUUUCAUCAUGUUGGCCAGGCUGGUCCCGAACUCCUGACCUCAAGUGAUCUUCCUGCCUCAGCCUCCCAAAGUGUUGGGAUGACAGGUGUGAGCCACAGUGCCUGGCCCAGGGACCAUCUCAUUGCAGAAAACAAGCUCCAGGCUCCCACUGAUCUUACAUUAUGGUGAGUUGUGGAAUUAUUUUAUUAUGUAUUACAAUGUUAAUAACAGAAUUAAAGUGCACAAUAAAAGUAAUGCACUGGAAUCAUCCCCAAACCAUCCUCCCUGCUCCCCAACACCUGCCUUCCCACUGUCCUAGGAAAAACUGUCUUCCAGGAAACCAUUCUCUGCUGCCAAAAAGGUUGAGGAGUGCUUGCCUUAAGGAACCAGAAAAGGAAGAACAAAAGUAGCCCCAAGCCAGCAGAAGGAAGGAAAUUGUAAAGAUCAGAGCAGUGAUAAUGAGACAGAAAUAAGAAAAACUGUCCAAUUGAUGAAACCAAAUUGGUUCUUUGAAAAGUGCUAUGAGAUUGACAAACCUGUAGUGGGCUGACCAAAAGCAAAGCAAAACUAAACUAAACAACAACAAAAAGGAAAUAAGCCACAAAUAAUCCAAGCAGAAACAAAAGGGGGAUGUUACUACCAACCUUAUGGAAAUAAAAAGCAUGAUCAGAGAGGACUGCAGUAUUAUGUACCAGUGUAGGACACCCAAUGAGAUCAUCUACAUUAAAUAGGCAAAUUCUUAGAAAAACAGAAAUGAAAGAGUUCAGAUGUGGUUUCAGGUUCCACUCAUAUCUCUUAGAUACUGAUUUAGAUGCCAGCAUGGUGCUCAGAAUUUAUAUACAUCUUCUUUCUUUAUUUUACAGACCCGGUCUCACUCUUUGCUGAGCCUGGAGUGCAGAGGUGCGUUCACAGCUCACUGCAGCCUCCACCACCUGGGCUGAAGCGAUCCUUCCACCUCAGCCUCCAAAAAUGCUAGGAUUACAAGCAUGUGCCACCACAACACUGGGUGUAUAUAUAUAUAUAUAUUUUAAGA